RNAcentral lists this transfer RNA (73 nucleotides) under Metopograpsus thukuhar. RNAcentral's name for it is "tRNA-Val". Lineage: Eukaryota; Metazoa; Arthropoda; Malacostraca; Decapoda; Grapsidae. The record is from RNAcentral.
CAAAGUGUAGCUAAAUAAGUUAAGCAUUUCAGUUACAUUGAAAAGAUUUAUCGUGCAAGUCGGUUCGCUUUGA